Molecule: microRNA precursor, 62 nt
Organism: Homo sapiens (human)
Lineage: Eukaryota; Metazoa; Chordata; Mammalia; Primates; Hominidae
Source: Ensembl
AAAAAACAACAUACUUAGUGCAUACCCAUAUAAUAUUAGGGGUGGUCUGUUGUUGUUUUUCU